This is a non-coding RNA of Toxocara canis (dog roundworm), 47 nucleotides long. The record is from Rfam. NCBI's taxonomy places the organism in Eukaryota, Metazoa, Nematoda, Chromadorea, Rhabditida, Toxocaridae.
CCAACGGCCCUCUUUAGGGCCACAUUCGAGUAAACCAAUCUUGUCCU